CUACUCUUGACAUCCACGGAAUUUAGCAGAGAUGCUUUAGUGCCUUCGGGAACCGUGAGACAGGUGCUGCAUGGCUGUCGUCAGCUCGUGUUGUGAAAUGUUGGGUUAAGUCCCGCAACGAGCGCAACCCUUAUCCUUUGUUGCCAGCGGUUCGGCCGGGAACUCAAAGGAGACUGCCAGUGAUAAACUGGAGGAAGGUGGGGAUGACGUCAAGUCAUCAUGGCCCUUACGAGUAGGGCUACACACGUGCUACAAUGGCGUAUACAAAGAGAAGCGACCUCGCGAGAGCAAGCGGACCUCAUAAAGUACGUCGUAGUCCGGAUUGGAGUCUGCAACUCGACUCCAUGAAGUCGGAAUCGCUAGUAAUCGUAGAUCAGAAUGCUACGGUGAAUA
This 393-nucleotide ribosomal RNA is filed under the name Kluyvera cryocrescens. Its description in RNAcentral is "bacterial SSU rRNA". It matches the Rfam family "Bacterial small subunit ribosomal RNA", at positions 975 to 1368 of the family's 1533-position model. Lineage: Bacteria; Pseudomonadati; Pseudomonadota; Gammaproteobacteria; Enterobacterales; Enterobacteriaceae. The record is from RNAcentral.